Molecule: ribosomal RNA, 254 nt
Filed under: uncultured bacterium
Lineage: Bacteria
Description: partial 16S ribosomal RNA
Rfam family: Bacterial small subunit ribosomal RNA
Source: RNAcentral
UACGGGGGGGGUAAGCGUUGUUCGGAAUUACUGGGCGUAAAGGGCGCGUAGGCGGCCUACUAAGUCGGACGUGAAAUCCCUCGGCUCAACUGAGGAACUGCACGGGAUACUGGAAGACUUGAGUUCGGGAGAGGGAAGCGGAAUUCCGGGUGUAGCGGUGAAAUGCGUAGAUAUCCGGAGGAACACCGGUGGCGAAGGCGGCUUCCUGGACCGAUUACUGACGCUGAGGCGCGAAAGCUAGGGGAGCAAACGGG